RNAcentral lists this ribosomal RNA (1342 nucleotides) under uncultured bacterium. RNAcentral's name for it is "16S ribosomal RNA". It matches the Rfam family "Bacterial small subunit ribosomal RNA", at positions 28 to 1378 of the family's 1533-position model. The record is from RNAcentral.
GACGAACGCUGGCGGCGUGCUUAACACAUGCAAGUCGAACGGAAAGGCCCUGCUUUUGUGGGGUGCUCGAGUGGCGAACGGGUGAGUAGCACGUGAGUAACCUGCCCUUGACUUUGGGAUAACUUCAGGGAACUGGGGCUAAUACCGGAUAGGAGCUCCUGCUGCAUGGUGGGGGUUGGAAAGUUUCGGCGGUUGGGGAUGGACUCGCGGCUUAUCAGCUUGUUGGUGGGGUAGUGGCUUACCAAGGCUUUGACGGGUAGCCGGCCUGAGAGGGUGACCGGCCACAUUGGGACUGAGAUACGGCCCAGACUCCUACGGGAGGCAGCAGUGGGGAAUAUUGCACAAUGGGCGGAAGCCUGAUGCAGCAACGCCGCGUGCGGGAUGACGGCCUUCGGGUUGUAAACCGCUUUCGCCUGUGACGAAGCGUGAGUGACGGUAAUGGGUAAAGAAGCACCGGCUAACUACGUGCCAGCAGCCGCGGUGAUACGUAGGGUGCGAGCGUUGUCCGGAUUUAUUGGGCGUAAAGGGCUCGUAGGUGGUUGAUCGCGUCGGAAGUGUAAUCUUGGGGCUUAACCCUGAGCGUGCUUUCGAUACGGGUUGACUUGAGGAAGGUAGGGGAGAAUGGAAUUCCUGGUGGAGCGGUGGAAUGCGCAGAUAUCAGGAGGAACACCAGUGGCGAAGGCGGUUCUCUGGGCCUUUCCUGACGCUGAGGAGCGAAAGCGUGGGGAGCGAACAGGCUUAGAUACCCUGGUAGUCCACGCUGUAAACGGUGGGUACUAGGUGUGGGGUCCAUUCCACGGGUUCCGUGCCGUAGCUAACGCUUUAAGUACCCCGCCUGGGGAGUACGGCCGCAAGGCUAAACUCAAAGGAAUUGACGGGGCCCCGCACAAGCGGCGGAGCAUGCGGAUUAAUUCGAUGCAACGCGUAGAACCUUACCUGGGUUUGACAUGGAUCGGGAGUGCUCAGAGAUGGGUGUGCCUCUUUUGGGGUCGGUUCACAGGUGGUGCAUGGCUGUCGUCAGCUCGUGUCGUGAGAUGUUGGGUUAAGUCCCGCAACGAGCGCAACCCUUGUUCACUGUUGCCAGCACGUUAUGGUGGGGACUCAGUGGAGACCGCCGGGGUCAACUCGGAGGAAGGUGGGGAUGACGUCAAGUCAUCAUGCCCCUUAUGUCCAGGGCUUCACGCAUGCUACAAUGGCUGGUACAGAGAGUGGCGAGCCUGUGAGGGUGAGCGAAUCUCGGAAAGCCGGUCUCAGUUCGGAUUGGGGUCUGCAACUCGACCUCAUGAAGUCGGAGUCGCUAGUAACCGCAGAUCAGCAACGCUGCGGUGAAUACGUUCCCGGG